UGGGCGCAAGCCUGAAGCAGCAACGCCGCGUGUGCGAUGAAGGCCUUCGGGUUGUAAAGCACUUUUAGCAGGGAAGAGAAAGGACGGUACCUGCUGAAUAAGCCUCGGCUAACUACGUGCCAGCAGCCGCGGUAAAACGUAGGAGGCGAGCGUUAUCCGGAUUUACUGGGUGUAAAGCGCGUGCAGGCGGUUGGCUAAGUUGGGUGUGAAAGCUCCUGGCUCAACUGGGAGAGGUCGCUCAAGACUGGCCGACUGGAGAGCAGUAAGGGAAGGUGGAAUUCCGGGUGUAGUGGUGAAAUGCGUAGAUAUCCGGAGGAACACCAGUGGCGAAGGCGGCCUUCUGGACUGCUUCUGACACUCAGACGCGAAAGGCUAGGGUAGCAAACGGGAUUAGAGACCCCGGUAGUCCUAGCCGUAAACGAUGUGAACUUGGCGCUGGGUGGGUAAAACUAUUCAGUGCCGCAGCUAACGCGAUAAGUUCACCACCUGAGGACUACGGCCGCAAGGUUA
RNAcentral lists this ribosomal RNA (510 nucleotides) under uncultured Chloroflexota bacterium. RNAcentral describes it as "bacterial SSU rRNA". It matches the Rfam family "Bacterial small subunit ribosomal RNA", at positions 372 to 896 of the family's 1533-position model. Lineage: Bacteria; Bacillati; Chloroflexota. The record is from RNAcentral.